CGCUAGUCCCGCGCGACCACCACUUACCCUGCGACUGCACGCCACACAAGGAAAGUCCACAUCCGCGACUUCCCCUGUGAAUCUGUGAUCCCCUGCCGCUCGCCACGCGAUCUCCGUGGCCUUCCUUCUUGAUCCCUCAGCCCUGUCACCACCAUCGCGAAAUCCCUGCGACCGCAGCCACCAUCUGCAUCAUGCAUCAGACGAUCCUUCCUCCCCACUCUCCAACUCCUGCACCAACAACCAAGACCUAUCCCCAAAUCCAGGUCGAUGGAGGUGGCGGCGGCAUGGUGCCACAGGCAGCCCAACGACGGCGAGAGAAAGGAGACAGCAGCAACUGCUGCUCCAUAGACUACGUCGCUACAGACCAUGACUUCCUCAACUCCUGCUACACCCUCGCUCAUGGCUGCCACUAGGUGUGCUAACCCCUUCUCUUCCCUUUCCUGUUGUGCAAAACCGAGCACCCAACCCUAACUUAAUUUGUUUGGCUAUUUGUAUUCUGAUCUGAUCUAAUUAUAGUAUACAUAUAUUGUGCCUGCUAACUUCGAUCCAUUCAAAAGAUUAUCAUGUGUAUAUGUGCACACCCAUGUUUACUGGAUCUGCUCCUGCAGUUCUAUGUGCUUUGCACUGAACGUUCCUAGCCCUUCUGCUCUUCAUCCUCCCCAUCUUGGACUGAUGUUGAAAUUUAGAUGAAUAUUCUUGGAUUUAUUUUUUCUCAGGACAGAUUCACUGAGGGACAGUUGAUUUGAAAUAUGCCUUUGCAAUUGUCAUGUAUAAAAUCUAUUUAUUGUUGCUAGAUCUCUAAAAUAAAUCUUUUGCUCCAACAAUUUAUCUUUUUAUGAAGUCCUGAUGGUCUUAUUCAAAGUUUACUUCAUGAGUUUCCAUUUUUGUUAGCACAAAAUGUGUUAUUUUAUAAGACAGUUUAUAUUGUGAGCAGUAUACCAUUUUAAAUUGAUAAAAAAAAUUAGUGGCAUGAAUAUGAUCAUACAUGGAAACAUGAGGAGACUCGAGGGUGCUGGUGCUCUCUAACUGUUGCCACACUGCUGUUGCUGCUCUCUGCUUGCCGGCAACCAAGCUGAGUUUGGGAAAUCAGGAAAGGUGUUUCCAGGUUUUAGUAUCUUUCAUAUUAUCUAUCUUUCAGAUCAAUGAAGUGGUUUCGGCUGAGAGUCUCAUGUGGCUUCUAAAUGAAACUUUUCAAGAUAUUUUAGAUUUCACAGAUUUUUCAGUCAGCCCCUACUGAAGGUAACCAAUACACCUUUGUCCUCUAUUUUGAUCUUCUCGAUCUACUUUGCCAAAUUUCAGAUCUAAGCGAUGUCAAAUACUAAGAGCAAUGACGAUUUUUUCCAUGUAUCGUUCUUUCCAGUUUUGGGCUGAAUUUGUGUCUUGAAAGUAACAAUAGUGUAAUCUUAUCGUCGAAAUGAUUUUGGCUUGAAAAUAACUACAAAUAAUGAUUCACCUUGAAAUCUUUUUUUUUCUUGACAGUGAUAUUCAAAUGAAGAACUAAUUUAAGUUUUUAAGACAUAGUGAAAUAUGCCUUUGUGGAAACAAAUUGUGAUCAAUAGAAUUUGGUAUCUUUUUCAUCUAUACAGAUAAUUAGAAGAGAUACUCUCCAAUAUUUACAGUAGUAAUAAUUGAAUGGCAGAAUGGAGUAUCUUAACAUAGUGAGCAAUUAUUAAAAUGAAAUGCAUCAAAAAGAAGGCCACAUUGUUGCAGUUUGAGGGCUGCAGGCAAGCUCACAGUUGAGCUCAGCUCAGCUCUACUAUGCUUUACACUCUCCCUCACUAGCAUACAUGUUUUGAUUAGCAUUGAAAAAUAAUUAAUAAGCAUCCAUGUGACACUGCGUCACUAUGUGUGGACAGUGUGCCAAAGCUAAACUAAAAUUAAAGCUGAAGUUAGCAGAACAAUAUGUGGCCAAUUUAUUUGCAAGCAACAAGAAGCUCCAAGCUGACUUGUUCUUUAUGCUAGGUUGUAGAUAGUUUUUUAUUCUCUAAGAAUUCAUACAAUUUCUGUGGAUUAGUGUACAUUGUUUCAUUGAGUGAGAGACCCAGCGAUGAAAAAAAUGUUGAUCAAUCCCAGUAUAUGCAUGCUAUCUUGAUCUAAUGAAAAAAAUUAAAUAUGCCACUACUACCCCUGGGUUGCCUUUCGUCCAUUCAAGUCAAGCUCAUUGCCAAGUUCAUUCAGUGUAAUAGUUUCAUGAAUGGUGCAUUGAUAUACAUAUCAAAGCCAUCAGUAGAUGUGUAUAUAUGUUUUUCAGGUUUGGCAUGACCACCUAGCAGUGGUACUACCACUCAGAGAUGCAACUCUAGAAACCAGUUCAGGAGUUAGUAUCCUUUCUGUUGACCAGUUCAGCAAGGACUUAUACAUAGUUGCAUAUGGAAAACUAUUUCAAUGGUUACUGAUUAAGCAAUAUACUCGCCUGGGCUAUUAGGCCAAUUUUCCUUCUGAUCCACCUCAACUAGAAAGCUUUUUACAGGCCAAUCGGUGAUUGGAUACCUUUGGGGAUCCUUACAAAUACAACCCAUGGAGGUGAUGCAACAUCAAUCUUUCAUUGCCUUUUCAGAUGAGUGUUUCCACUCUAAGUUCUGUAGAAGCAUGUGAGAUACUGCAUCUUCAUAGUCAGCAUACACAUCUCUGCAGCAGGUCUGUAGCCAAGGAAAGUGAGGCCCAAUAAAUAAAUAUUUCAAUGCAGAGAAAAUUGUCGAUAAAAAAUUAACUUACCUUCUUGUACAUCAGCAAAAAAAUUCUUGUGGAAAAAAGAGUUGAAUCCUCAAUUUGAUCCUUAGUCCAGUCAUUGGUUGUUCCAUCUCCAUAACAAGCUACGGAUACUGCUGCAGGUAAGUAACAACUGAUACUACAUAACAAGCUUCAUCUACUGAUAUUACUCGAGGUAAUUAACUGAUACUGCAUAACAAGCUUCAUAUGUGCUUCUGCAUAAAAAUGAUAAUGCUCGUGGUAAAUGACAGAUAUAGCUCAUGUAAAAAAGAAGUAACAACAUAAUGCAGAAUUAUUCAUGUGAAAAUACAGUAGAAAAUUAUACUGGUAUAAGUCUCUUAGAAAACUAAUAAGUCAAAUUCAGGUUAUCCUAUAUAAGAACAUUGUCAACAAUGGGUGCUGCAAUAAAAAGACUUUUCAGUUUUAUCAUAAUCAGAAGCUAUUGGUCUCUACUUUAAUUAAACUGGCCAAUAGAAACUGCACCAAAACUGAAAACAUUACUGUCAAAUUUUGCCCUUUAAGCAGAUCCAUUCGAUUGCCUAGUCCAUUACAUGGUUGGAACAAAUCAACUGCAUCACUUGUACCAAAAUUAUUGUUAGCUAGAUAUAGAAUAACAAGGGGAAAAGGAGUGUGUUUGGUUAACAAUAUCUCAAAUGACAAAUAAAAUGUUUUCACUUCCAGGAGGAAAAUAAAGCUGUGCACCAAAAUACAUAGAUCGAUUCUAACAUUCCUGAGAAGAGAGGAGAGAUGGGGAUCAUACCUCAGUAGGGAUCGUGAUGCCAAGAGAGGGCACUGUUUAGAGAGGAAUAUUCACAGGAAGGAUGAGAAGGCAGCAUCCAUCAUCAAAUCCGGCAACCACCAUCCCUUUCCUCACCACGACUUGAUCUGAAUGAGAAGAUAGAAGGAAGCGGAGGGAUCUGUUCAAAUCUGGAUCCCAUGGGUUUGAAGAUGGCAGUGUAGACUUGAUGGAGAGGCCAAACUGCAGUCCCAAGAUCCAGCAGGGCAACGAGACUGUUGACAAACUGCAUCCUGCAUUCAUAGGGAGCGCUGAUGAAGAUUUGACUCCCACAGUGCGCAGCCGUGGCAUGCUGAAGCCGAUGAUGAUUUCGGUCGUGCAGUGCGCAGCUGCGGCACGCCAAAGAGAAGUUGGGCGAGGGAGCGAACCCUAGUUGCGGUUAUGCGAAGAGGUCCAAUCCACUGCUGAACCCGUGGACGGCGUCAUCUCGUAUCGCAAUUAGGCCCUCCCAUACGUCAAACAAAUCAGCCCCCUCCCUAAACUAUUCUCCGCCCGUUCCUUUCUGUUCGUGCUCCUCGGCAUGUGGCGGCGAGGGCAUUGAGGGGGGCUGAGGCUGGAGGAUCGGUGGCGAGUUGAAGCUGUUUGCACUAGUUGCAGGAGACACUGGAGUCGUCUUCUGGCUCAAGAUCAAAGGAUGGUGGCGCAAGAUCAAAGGAGGGUGAUUCCUGCAUACUGCAUUAACUAUUUUUCCAUGAAUGAACAAGCUGUUGUUGCCUACAGGUAACUGCAAAGAAGGGCCGCCGAGCAAGUUGCCUCUAGCCGCAGGCGACGACAACAGUGUGGUGGCCGGUGUCGAAGCUAGCGAGGGGGCGACGGCAGCAGUGUUGAAGCCGUCGAGGAGGCGAUUUGAAGCAGGCCGAGGAGGGGCUAACGGCAGCUGCGUCGUGGGCCGGGAGGGGUGACGGCAGCGCCAUGGUGGCCGAGGAGGGGGUGACUGCAGCGCCGUGGUAGGGCAGGGAGGGGCCCACGGCAGCUGCGUGCUAGUCGGCGAGGGGGCGAUGGCGGCAGUGUGAUGGCCGGCGAGGGAGCAACCGCAGCGACAUCGUGGCCAUCAUGGAAGCGACGCAGUGGAUUGGGCUAACUGCAUCUGAUGGGUGUGGUACCAACUUCAAACAAGGAAAAUGGACGAAGGGGCCUAAUUGCAAUACGAGUUGACGCCGUCCACGGGUUCAGUAGUGGAUUGGGCUUAAAUGGCACCAAAACACAGAUUA
This is a long non-coding RNA of Sorghum bicolor (sorghum), 4716 nucleotides long. RefSeq lists it as uncharacterized. The record is from RefSeq and is a predicted model, not a curated record. NCBI's taxonomy places the organism in Eukaryota, Viridiplantae, Streptophyta, Magnoliopsida, Poales, Poaceae. The transcript is spliced from 6 exons.